Long non-coding RNA from Myxocyprinus asiaticus (Chinese sucker), 1802 nucleotides. RefSeq lists it as uncharacterized. The record is from RefSeq and is a predicted model, not a curated record. Lineage: Eukaryota; Metazoa; Chordata; Actinopteri; Cypriniformes; Catostomidae. The transcript is spliced from 3 exons.
UGACGCAUUUCCGUCCUAUGUUUCAGCAUAAAUCUCGCAUUUUUUAAAUAUUAUAUAUUUUUUAAAAUAUUGAUUGUAUAUUUAUAACAUUAUUAUUUGUGUUAUAUUACCUUGGAAUAAGUUUUGAAAAAAUAAUUACCACAGCUGCGAGGGGGUUUCUAUUACAGCUGCUGAGAAAGUGACAGUAAAUUUGGCAUCUUCUCUCAUCUUUUUUUUUUUUUUUUUUUCCUCUUCUAGAAAGUAAUUCAAACGAAAGAGUGGAUUUUUUCUUUUGGUCUUGGAGCAAAUGGGACGUCAUCAGUGUCAGGGGCGGACUGGCCAUAGGGAGAACCGGGACUUUUCCUGGUGGGCUGGCCGUGAAACAGGCCGCUGUGUUAUGCCGAACGGGCCGCAACUGGCUGAAGAGUGCCGCAAAACAGCACCGCGACAUGCCGAAGGGGGCCGCGAUAUGCAGAAAAGGACAGCGACACCAACCUUUCUCCUGUCUGAUAUUCUGGCAAGCCAUGCCUCUCUGCAGGAACUAUGCCGCCAUUGUGUUCUUUGCCAACAAUCGUUUUGAAACAGGGAAUGAAACAGUACUUGUCUUUCCAGGAUGUUGCUUUUUGCAUUGGUCAGCUCAUCAGCUACUGGACUGUGGGGGCAGUUGGUAAGAUGCUUCCAUGUGGGAAAUUCUGUCAUAAUUUUCUCGCUGUCAUGUUGUGGAACACAAAAGUAGAAUUCAGCAGAAUGUUGACUUUGCUCUUUUCCAUAAAAAAUAAAAAAAACACCCGUAAAAGUAGUUAAUAUGACUUGUGCGCUAUGUGAUAUCUUUCUGUGAGGAACUAACCAAAUUUUAUGUCAUUAAAACAAAUGCACUAUAAAAGCAUGACCUUUAAAGUAGUAUGCACAACACCAAAUAGUGUGUACUUCAAUAUUUUUAAAAUGUACCACUGCAUCCAAUACUUAUUAGUAUAUACAGUAAAGCCUACAACAACUAGUAUGCACUACAAAAUCAAGGACAUUCUUCAAAAACUAGUCUUAACUAAACCAGUUAAUAUGCUUUCCAAAAACAAAGAUACCCUACAAAAACAAGUGUGAACUAACUAGUAUGCACUAUAAAAUUAACCUGCAAUUAACCAGCUUGUUUUUACUUCAAAAACAAUUAUGCACUACAGCAUUAAACAUUGACAAAUAUGCACUACAACACUACUUGACUAAUAAUAGUAAAUUCUGUGGUAGGCCAUCAAACAGAUUGCCAUUGAUGAGUGGCAAUAUGUGCAAUAUGCACUCUUCAUUAGUGAUGUAUUGGAUUCCUAGUUUAGAUAGGAAUACAACUGAAAAAAAUAUGCAGACGGAUGCAGUAAUGUAUACGGUGUGAACAGCCCCUAAAAUGCUUAAAAUGAUAACCGCUUUAAUACAACAACCAGGAAGAACCAAAUUUCGAUCAAUCCUCUGAUUAGAAUACAAUUAAUCCUGCACUGGUUUCCAGUUAGUUUUAAUGAAUAAAAAGUCCUGUCUCUUCUGUCUCCCUCUCAUUUGUAAAUCAGUUACUAUCUCAGCUCUUUUCGUACAUUCUCCUACUCUCUCUUUUUACCAUGUCUUUUCAUAUGGAGGUAUUCUUGUGCUAUAGAUUGUGAUUCAACUUAAAAGAAAAUAAAUAAAAAACUUGGCCACAAAUCCACCUUACUUGCUCUUUUUUUAUGCUGUCAUUGAUAUAGUCUUUUUUACUAAUCAGGUAAUUAUCCCUUCACAAAGUGUGCAUGUGAUCAUUGUUUUCACACAGUAAAAACUGCUACCUGACUGCAUUUGAGUGGAUGUGUGCC